GAUGAACGCUGGCGGCGUGCCUAAUACAUGCAAGUCGAGCGAACGGACGAGAAGCGUUCGUCUCUGAGGUUGGCGGCGGACGGGGGAGUAACACGUGGAUAACCUACCUAUAAUACUGGGAGAAAUUCGGGGAAACGGAGCUAAUACCGGAUAAUAUUUUGAACCGCAUGGUUCAAAAGUGAAAGACGGUCUUGCGGUCACUUAUAGAUGGAUCCGCGCUGCAUUAGCUAGUUGGUAAGGUAACGGCUUACCAAGGCAACGAUGCAUAGCCGACCUGAGAGGAUGAUCGGCCGCACUGGAACUGAGACACGGUCCAGACUCCUACGGGAGGCAGCAGUAGGGAAUCUUCGGCAAUGGGCGAAAGCCUGACGGAGCAACGCCGCGUGAGUGAUGAAGGUCUUCGGAUCGUAAAACUCUGUUAUUAGGGAAGAACAUAUGUGUAAGUAACUGUGCACAUCUUGACGGUACCUAAUCAGAAAGCCACGGCUAACUACGUG
Molecule: ribosomal RNA, 497 nt
Filed under: uncultured bacterium
Lineage: Bacteria
Description: partial 16S ribosomal RNA
Rfam family: Bacterial small subunit ribosomal RNA
Source: RNAcentral